AGCGAACGCUGGCGGCAGGCUUAACACAUGCAAGUCGAACGCCCCGCAAGGGGAGUGGCAGACGGGUGAGUAACACGUGGGAACGUACCCUUUGGUUCGGAAUAACUUGGGGAAACUCAAGCUAAUACCGGAUAAGCCCUUAUGGGGAAAGGUUUACUGCCGAAGGAUCGGCCCGCGUCUGAUUAGCUAGUUGGUGAGGUAAUGGCUCACCAAGGCGACGAUCAGUAGCUGGUCUGAGAGGAUGAUCAGCCACACUGGGACUGAGACACGGCCCAGACUCCUACGGGAGGCAGCAGUGGGUAAUAUUAGACAAUGGGGGCAACCCUGAUCCAGCCAUGCCGCGUGAGUGAUGAAGGCCUUAGGGUUGUAAAGCUCUUUUACCCGGGACGAUAAUGACUGUACCGGGAGAAUAAGCCCCGGCUAACUUCGUGCCAGCCGCCGCGGUAA
RNAcentral lists this ribosomal RNA (447 nucleotides) under uncultured bacterium. RNAcentral's name for it is "partial 16S ribosomal RNA". It matches the Rfam family "Bacterial small subunit ribosomal RNA", at positions 29 to 523 of the family's 1533-position model. The record is from RNAcentral.